RNAcentral lists this long non-coding RNA (341 nucleotides) under Pan troglodytes (chimpanzee). RNAcentral describes it as "long non-coding RNA NONPTRT005225". Lineage: Eukaryota; Metazoa; Chordata; Mammalia; Primates; Hominidae. The record is from RNAcentral.
AUGCUUUGUUCCACGCUCCUGCUACUGACUGUCCCGUCCUGGGUCUUAUCCCAGGUCACCUUGAAGGAGUCUGGUCCUGCGCUGGUGAAACCCACAGAGACCCUCACGCUGACCUGCACCUUCUCUGGGUUCUCACUCAGCACUAGUGGAAUGCGUGUGAGCUGGAUCCGUCAGCCCCCAGGGAAGGCCCUGGAGUGGCUUGCACGCAUUGAUUGGGAUGAUGAUAAAUACUACAGCACAUCUCUGAAGACCAGGCUCACCAUCUCCAAGGACACCUCCAAAAACCAGGUGGUCCUUACAAUGACCAACAUGGACCCUGUGGACACAGCCACAUAUUACUG